UAAUACAUCGGAACGUGUCCAAUAAUGGGGGAUAACUAAUCGAAAGGUUGGCUAAUACCGCAUACGCCCUACGGGGGAAAGCAGGGGAUCUUCGGACCUUGCGUUAAUGGAGCGGCUGAUAUCUGAUUAGCUAGUUGGUGAGGUAAAGGCUCACCAAGGCGACGAUCAGUAGCUGGUCUGAGAGGACGACCAGCCACACUGGAACUGAGACACGGUCCAGACUCCUACGGGAGGCAGCAGUGGGGAAUUUUGGACAAUGGGCGCGAGCCUGAUCCAGCCAUUCCGCGUGAGUGAAGAAGGCCUUCGGGUUGUAAAGCUCUUUCGCAAGGGAAGAAAACUUACUUUCUAAUAAAGAGUGAGGUUGACGGUACCUUGAUAAGAAGCACCGGCUAACUACGUGCCAGCAGCCGCGGUAAUACGUAGGGUGCGAGCGUUAAUCGGAAUUACUGGGCGUAAAGCGUGCGCAGGCGGUUUUGUAAGUCAGAUGUGAAAUCCCCGAGCUCAACUUGGGAACUGCGUUUGAAACUACAAGACUAGAAUAUGUCAGAGGGGGGUAGAAUUCCACGUGUAGCAGUGAAGUGCGUAGAGAUGUGGAGGAAUACCAAUGGCGAAGGCAGCCCCCUGGGAUAAUAUUGACGCUCAUGCACGAAAGCGUGGGGAGCAAACAGGAUUAGAUACCCUGGUAGUCCACGCCGUAAACGGUGGGCGCUAGUUGUGGGGACCUUCCACGGUCUCUGCGACGCAGCUAACGCAUUAAGCGCCCCGCCUGGGGAGUACGAUCGCAAGAUUAAAACUCAAAGGAAUUGACGGGGCCCCGCACAAGCAGCGGAGCAUGCGGCUUAAUUCGACGCAACGCGAANAACCUUACCNAGGCUUGACAUAUAGGNAA
RNAcentral lists this ribosomal RNA (889 nucleotides) under uncultured bacterium. RNAcentral describes it as "bacterial SSU rRNA". It matches the Rfam family "Bacterial small subunit ribosomal RNA", at positions 111 to 995 of the family's 1533-position model. The record is from RNAcentral.